Molecule: long non-coding RNA, 735 nt
Filed under: Elaeis guineensis (African oil palm)
Lineage: Eukaryota; Viridiplantae; Streptophyta; Magnoliopsida; Arecales; Arecaceae
Description: long non-coding RNA (EGUI_LNC040976)
Source: RNAcentral
CUAAAGUUUUCGUGAUCUGACCUAAAAUUCUCGUAACCCAAUAGGAGUAAGCCAGGAUGUAGGUGCCUAGACGGAUCAGGAUGUAGGCACCUACAUCUGGGUGUGCCUACAACCCAGUAGGCACCUCCAUCUGGGUUGUUUUCUGAUUUUAGGUGACUACAUCCGAUCCUAUUUUAGGCGGCUUCUUCCCUCACUUUUAUAUAUUUUCAAAUCAUCGAAUUAGUUCGAAAUAUCCACUCCUUCAUCUUCUUUUCCUUUCGUUCCUCUCAGAAUCCCUAGCUCUUAUCUUCACAACCAUCUCCACUCACGUCUUAAAUCCAAACGAAAAAUCUCCUUCUCAAGCUAAAAAGCUCCGCCAUCUCCUUCUCGGCCAAUGGCUCCGAAGAUGCAUCUUCUCUCCAACGCCAAAGAGCAAGCAGAAAGGGAGAAGAAAGCAAAAGGGGAAGGAGAAGAGAAGCAAACGAAGCAUCAUCACCUCCUCCUUCAAGAUCACCUCCUCCGAGAACUCCUUUAAGAUCACCUCCUCUGAGAACUCCGGUAAGUGAUAAAAAUAUUCUCUCCAGCUGUAUUGUUGAUAUGAACUUUUUAGAUUUGGAGAGAUUUGAGAUUGCAAACUUAAUCAGAGCCAUAGGAUGAAAAUUUAUUCGCACUGCUGAAGCUCCAAUAUUUAUGAAGUUAGAAAAUUUUAUGAGAAUAUUUCAUUUGAAGAACAUACCGUAUCAUCUUCAGUUAAGG